GACGAACGCUGGCGGCGUGCUUAACACAUGCAAGUCGAACGGAAAGGCCCUGCUUUUGUGGGGUGCUCGAGUGGCGAACGGGUGAGUAACACGUGAGUAACCUGCCCUUGACUUUGGGAUAACUUCAGGAAACUGGGGCUAAUACCGGAUAGGAGCUCCUGCUGCAUGGUGGGGGGUGGAAAGUUUCGGCGGUUGGGGAUGGACUCGCGGCUGAUCAGCUUGUUGGUGGGGUAGUGGCUUACCAAGGCUUUGACGGGUAGCCGGCCUGAGAGGGUGACCGGCCAGAUUGGGACUGAGAUGCGGCCCAGACUGCUACGGGAGGCAGCAGUGGGGAAUGUUGCACGAUGGGCGGAAGCCUGAUGCAGCAACGCCGCGUGCGGGAUGACGGCCUUCGGGUUGUAAACCGCUUUCGCCUGUGACGAAGCGUGAGUGGCGGUAAUGGGUAAAGAAGCACCGGCUAACUACGUG
RNAcentral lists this ribosomal RNA (468 nucleotides) under uncultured bacterium. RNAcentral's name for it is "partial 16S ribosomal RNA". It matches the Rfam family "Bacterial small subunit ribosomal RNA", at positions 28 to 507 of the family's 1533-position model. The record is from RNAcentral.